This 247-nucleotide ribosomal RNA is filed under the name uncultured eukaryote. RNAcentral's name for it is "partial small subunit ribosomal RNA". The record is from RNAcentral.
CCUCCGCUGCACACCCUUAACCGCACCCUCGAUCAUGCGGUUCACCGCGGCCAACGAAAGCCCAUCCGGAUCGUUGCCCGGAAUCGUCGCGAAGCCGAUGGCCGACGCCGUCGGGUAGCGCGCGAAGAUCUGCUCGAAGAGCGCCGCCAACUCCUGACUCGACGGACCGCCCGGGACCUUGUUGCCGUGGCCCGGCACCUCGCUGGGAUCGAGCACAUCCAUGUCGAUAUGUAUGUAGAGCCGGUCU